ACGAACGCUGGCGGCGUGCUUAACACAUGCAAGUCGAACGCUGAAGCUCAGCUUUUGUUGGGUGGAUGAGUGGCGAACGGGUGAGUAACACGUGAGUAACCUGCCCCCUUCUUUGGGAUAACGCCCGGAAACGGGUGCUAAUACUGGAUAUUCACUGGUCUUCGCAUGGGGGUUGGUGGAAAGGGUUUUUCUGGUGGGGGAUGGGCUCGCGGCCUAUCAGCUUGUUGGUGGGGUGAUGGCCUACCAAGGCUUUGACGGGUAGCCGGCCUGAGAGGGUGACCGGUCACAUUGGGACUGAGAUACGGCCCAGACUCCUACGGGAGGCAGCAGUGGGGAAUAUUGCACAAUGGGCGCAAGCCUGAUGCAGCGACGCCGCGGGAGGGAUGGAGGCCUUCGGGUUGUGAACCUCUUUCGCUCAUGGUCAAGCCGCAACAAUGGUUGUGGUGAGGGUAGUGGGUAAAGAAGCGCCGGCUAACUACGUG
This 482-nucleotide ribosomal RNA is filed under the name uncultured bacterium. RNAcentral's name for it is "partial 16S ribosomal RNA". It matches the Rfam family "Bacterial small subunit ribosomal RNA", at positions 29 to 507 of the family's 1533-position model. The record is from RNAcentral.